GACGAACGCUGGCGGCGUGCUUAACACAUGCAAGUCGAACGGAAAGGCCCUGCUAUUGUGGGGUGCUCGAGUGGCGAACGGGUGAGUAACACGUGAGUAACCUGCCCUUGACUUUGGGAUAACUUCAGGAAACUGGGGCUAAUACCGGAUAGGAGCUACUGCUGCAUGGUGGGGGAUGGAAAGUUUCGGCGGUUGGGGAUGGACUCGCGGCUUAUCAGCUUGUUGGUGGGGUAGUGGCUUACCAAGGCUUUGACGGGUAGCCGGCCUGAGAGGGUGACCGGCCACGUUGGGACUGAGAUACGGCCCAGACUCCUACGGGAGGCAGCAGUGGAGAAUAUUGCACAAUGGGCGGAAGCCUGAUGCAGCAACGCCGCGUGCGGGAUGACGGCCUUCGGGUUGUAAACCGCUUUCGCCUGUGACGAAGCGUGAGUGACGGUAAUGGGUAAAGAAGCACCGGCUAACUACGUG
RNAcentral lists this ribosomal RNA (468 nucleotides) under uncultured bacterium. RNAcentral describes it as "partial 16S ribosomal RNA". It matches the Rfam family "Bacterial small subunit ribosomal RNA", at positions 28 to 507 of the family's 1533-position model. The record is from RNAcentral.